RNAcentral lists this ribosomal RNA (497 nucleotides) under uncultured bacterium. Its description in RNAcentral is "partial 16S ribosomal RNA". It matches the Rfam family "Bacterial small subunit ribosomal RNA", at positions 28 to 507 of the family's 1533-position model. The record is from RNAcentral.
GAUGAACGCUGGCGGCGUGCCUAAUACAUGCAAGUCGAGCGAACGGACGAGAAGCUUGCUUCUCUGAUGUUGGCGGCGGACGGGUGAGUAACACGUGGAUAACCUACCUAUAAGACUGGGAUAACUUCGGGAAACCGGAGCUAAUACCGGAUAAUAUUUUGAACCGCAUGGUUCAAAAGUGAAAGACGGUCUUGCUGUCACUUAUAGAUGGAUCCGCGCUGCAUUAGCUAGUUGGUAAGGUAACGGCUUACCAAGGCAACGAUGCAUAGCCGACCUGAGAGGGAGAUCGGCCACACUGGAACUGAGACACGGUCCAGACUCCUACGGGAGGCAGCAGUAGGGAAUCUUCCGCAAUGGGCGAAAGCCUGACGGAGCAACGCCGCGUGAGUGAUGAAGGUCUUCGGAUCGUAAAACUCUGUUAUUAGGGAAGAACAUAUGUGUAAGUAACUGUGCACAUCUUGACGGUACCUAAUCAGAAAGCCACGGCUAACUACGUG